AUAGGUUGUUAAUAGGAAUAAUAAUCACCUCUAACCAUUCCGAACAGAGAAGUUAAAAUUAUUCACGCUGAUGGUACUAAUUAUUAUUUAAUUGGGAGAGUAAGUACAGCCCAUU
Molecule: ribosomal RNA, 115 nt
Filed under: Candidatus Shikimatogenerans bostrichidophilus
Lineage: Bacteria; Pseudomonadati; Bacteroidota; Flavobacteriia; Flavobacteriales
Source: RNAcentral